UGAAGCUGUACGAUGCGUUCAGAAUAUUUUUAAGAUUUCUGAUGAAAUAUCAGCAUUAGUUUUUUUAUCGUGCUCUGAUGAUUUUCAAGGAGAAGAGAUUAUUGACUGUAUAAUAAAAAUAUAUAAGAAUAAAAAUGCUCCUUCUGAAUCAGACGAAAGAGAAAUGGAUGCAGCAUUUUCGUCUUGUUCAGAAGAAUCAAGAAUUUUCAAUAAUUAAUUAAUAAGUCUAGAUUUAUAUAUUUUAUUGUAAAAAAAUGAAAUG
Long non-coding RNA from Centruroides sculpturatus (bark scorpion), 262 nucleotides. RefSeq lists it as uncharacterized. The transcript has 3 exons. NCBI's taxonomy places the organism in Eukaryota, Metazoa, Arthropoda, Arachnida, Scorpiones, Buthidae. The record is from RefSeq and is a predicted model, not a curated record.